UAAUUGAUAUUUCCCCCCCCACCCCGUUUCACAACUUUCUGUGGUUUUGAGAACUCACUAAAACAAUGAACAUGAAUUUCUGACCAGAACAAAAAUUGCCUGUCUCAGGAGAACUUGGCUGGUUGGACUUGACAAUCCUAAAGUUCUUUUCCAACCUAGCUGAUUUUUUUUUCCUGUGAUUUUUAUGAUUCUAAAAGCACCCUCUGUAGUUUUCUAACUAUUUCUAUUUCCAAUAGCUUUCCUCUUGGCUGUGCCUACAGGAAAUAAGUGCCCAAUAAACAGGCACUGGCUCUUACCUAAAGCACUUUGCAUUCUGCGGAACGAGCGGGGAUGCUCAAUUGACAACUCGCUUCCUGCCCGCUGUCGUGUGGGGAAAGUGUCAAGGAGAAAAACUGUCAGGGAGGGAAAUAAUAAUGAGAGAUGGGUGCUGGGCUGGCGGGGUUUCCUGCAGAGCUGCCCGUGCACAGAUGGCUUCCUGAGAUAGCUCCUGCCGGCCCUCAUGGCUCAGCCUGGAGAAGAAAAGGCUCUGGGGACACCUCAGAGCCCUUCCAGUGCCUAAAGGAGCUCCAGGAGUGCUGGACUUUGGACAAGGGGCUGGGAGGACAGGACAAGGGGGAAUGGCUUGGCACUGACAGAGGGUUAGGUGGGGAUUGGGCAAGAAUCCUUCCCUGAGAGGGUGCUGAGGCCCUGGCACAGGAUGCCAGGUGGGUGGGCUCAGAAACAAAAAUUCUGGAUGUUAAGACGGCCUAUGAGUAAGUCUGUAUCUUGCAAGCCUUUCCUUUUGAAAGGAUUCAUGGGUUUAUGAAUUUACAGCAGUAUUGGAGAUAAAGGAGAACAUCUGCUGCCAAAAUCAGCAGCAGCACACAGCUUAUCUCGAGGUGUUCCCAGAAUCCUGGAAUCUUGGGGUUGGAAAGGACCUUCAAGUCCAUCUCAUCCCAAUCUCCUCCUCUGGGACACCUUCCAUAGCCCUGGUUGCUCUGGUUGCUGGUGAACAUCUGACAGGACCACUCUUUACCAACACUAUUGCAGCUUUAAUAAGUCUGGAGGGGUUAUGAAAUCACUUCCUAGGUCAGUGUGGGCAAAAUUCCGUGCCUGGCCUGGAAAAGUGACUUUGUUCUCUCAGUUGUACCUCUGGUCACUGCCAUGGAAUUCAUCUUGAUAUUCCUUCAGCAAGUGCAUUAUGUUCCAUUAACUUCAGGGCAAACGUGGUGGCGUGUAAUGAAAACACUGAAAAGCUUGAAAACUAAUCUAAAACCAGGAAAUCAACCUUGAUUUUCAUGGAGGAGAAAAAAAAUAAUAACCUCAGUCUUGCUGGGUAGGGCUCUAGCAAGGAAACUUUAGUUCUUCAUGAAUUAAGCUGGAUUUUUCUUCAUUCCAAAGCUUUAUUUUGUGUGAAUGAUUGUGUGACUGAUUGAGAGAUGGAGAGACAGACACACAUCUGGCAGAGACAGCCUCUCCCCACUUCCUUGGCCAAUGUUUACCUCAAUCACCUCCUGCCUGCACUGGCUCAAAUCUCGCCCAGCAUAGCACAAAACUCGGGGCAGCGGGAAUUUCCGGCAGAUAUCACUAAGAGCACGCUUAUAAUAAAUCAUAACACUCGUUUUCUCACUUCCUUUCCCUGAAAUUUUGAGUUUUCUAACAAGCUGCCCGUUUCCCUUUAAUUACACAGACAAAUCCCCACCUCCAAUAUCCACACUGGGCUCUUUUACAACCACAAUAUUUAUUGCUAACUGACCCAUGGAACCUAUUCAGCAUAUAACCCUCAUUUUUUUUUUUCUUUUUGACCACAAUCCAUUUCCCCCCAUGUGCAGGUUUCUCUGGCUCCCUGUAUCUCAUCCCAUCCCAUUAGCUCUCAGGUGCUGAAUAGCCUGUUCCAGCACAUCAAACUUUAAUUUAAACAGAAGAUGAUCAAUAAGCUUAGCAAAUUGCCUAUGGCAACAUCAGCACUUUGAAUCAAAGGGGUUUAUAGGUAAUUUAAAGGGCAUCCUCCACCAUGUGGUAGGUACCUAUUGCUUGCUUUGCCAAGAACAGCUCAGUUGGCUGAACACGAGGAAGAAGAGCUUCUCCUCCACAGAAAUGGCACAGAGCAUCCAGUCUGGAUGCUUUUGAAAGUGUGUUUUGAAACCACAAAAGACAGGGCAUCUCAGGAGGGGGGAAAAAAGCCUAACUCAAAAGGCUUGUUAAAAAAAAAGCCCUGAAAAAUCAGAGUUUAAAAUCAAUAUCAGCGCUAAAGAAGCAGAAGUGUAAAAGGAAAACACACACACUCAUCAGUCCAACCCUCCUCUGUGGUGCUGGGGCUUGGGACCCUCCUGAGGGAGGAGAAAUCAUCAUUUAAUCUUUGCCUAAAAGCACUGCAGUGAUUUCCAGGCAUGCAGGCAGCCUUUGGCCUGGCACCUGGAAUCACAGAAUAACAGAAUGGUUUAGCUUUGAAGGGACCUUGAAGGCCAUGACCUCAAAACCAUCUCAUUCCAACCUCCCUGCCAAGGGACAACUUCCACCAUCCCAGACUGCUCCAAGCCCUGUCCAGCCUGGCCUGGGACACCUCCUAGGAUGGGGAAACCACAGCUUCUCUGGGCACCCUGUGCCAGGGCCUCAGCACCCUCACAGGGAACGACUUCCUCUCUAUCUAAAGAAUUUCUCUCUAUCUAAACUCACCCUCUCUCAUUUUAAAACCAUUCCCCUUUCUCCCAUCACUCCAUGACCUUGGGAAAACAAAAAAAAAAAAGAUGCUCUUCUUCAGGAUCCUUGAAAUCCUGUGGUAGGAAAGGGAAUUCUUUGGGCAGUGGGUAGCAGCAGCAGCAAAAGUGUCCGAGCUGUUUCAGACACACAAACCUUAUUUAGGAGCACGAGGGGCCCAAAAGGCCCUUGUGAGAGGGGAUAUAUGGCUCAAAAGGCACUUAGCUCCUAGCUGGCUCCGGGUCGGAAAUUACACAAUGGAUGUCGAAAUCUUGGCUUGUUGAAAAGUUGUCAUUCGAGUAAUGGAUGCUUUAUUUCCUGUUUUUGCUGAAAGCUAAAGCGAAACAUAAUUAGCAAGCGAGAAAGCAACCUUGGCAGCCAAACAAAAAAAGCACAUUUUUGGGCGCCCAAGCCAAUUAAAAUUGUUUAUGUAGCUCACGAACAAUAUUUUCCUCCAAAUCAUUAAAACAGAGGAUUCAUCAUAACACGGCCAGGCCUGGUGCUCCCAGCCCUGCUCCUGUCAGCUCCCAAGGAUGGACUGAGGGCACGCUGUGAUGUCCAGGAUGCUUUUAGGGAUCAAAGAGAAGAAAGGACUGGAAGGGGAAUGCUCAGCUUCCGUUUCUUUUGGGUUUGGGAUAAUCCUGAGCAUAGGAGAACUUUAAUUUGCCUUGGAGAUCAGCAUGCCUAUUAAUUAUAAAUUAAAAAUCUCUUCUUUCAGCCCUUUUUUCUCUGUAAAAUCAGAGUUGAAGAACCCCCCACUAUUCUUUUGAAUGCUUGAAUCCAUGGCCUGCUUGAUUCUCACGUGGAUGCCCAGAUUGUUUCUGAUGAUGUAAGGUCUGGCUUCUCUUCUUGCUACAUGAGAAAAGAAUCCUUCAGGAAAGAAACAGGGGAGGGACAAAUAUUCCUGCUCUUUGGGAUGAUGCUCAUCUGCUCUCCUUGUAACAAACCAUUGUGCUUUCCAUGUGAAUUCUCAGCUUCCAUUCCUGCAGCACUUGCUGAGGGAUGCUGAGGGAUCAGCAUCCUGAUGGAUGAAAUUAAUUCAUCUUUCCACUCUGGACGGGGUUAAAAGGCCAUUAUGAUGGACAGAGGAGAAGCAGAGGAAAAUCAGAGCAAGAUCUCCUGACUUGAACAAGGUUCCUGAAAAUCUCUCCUACAGCUCAGAAGCAGCCUAAGAAAUCAUGACUCAAAUGAAAACCGCAGUGAAAUGAGUGCAAAGCCAGUCUAUGUAAAGAUAAUUAAUAUAUAAUUAUAAUUUCCAGCCAUUCCCCGUCAAAAGGAAAGGAGGUAUCAGGUGAGGAAUUUGUCCUGUAUGGGCACUGUGGAUUCCCUAAAAUAACCAGUUAUCCUUCACCUUCAGUUACUUCAGUUUCACUCCUCUUUCACUUUUCUUUUGUAUGUGAUGUGCAGGAAGAAUCUGCUGUGCACCUUGGAGAGUGUGAGGUUUGAUUGGCAAUUCUCAGGUGUUGUGAGCAGGAAUAAAUUAUGAAUAUAAUUAGCAAAACCUAUUUUUUUUUUCUACUGACUGUGCCUGAUCAAAUCAGCUGAAGAGAUGAAGGGCUCAGGCAGAAAUUUCCUGGGGGGAGGUGUAAGAGGGCAGGCACUGGAUCCGCUCAUUUGUCAAGAACUGUUUGGACUCCUCCAUUCACAGAAAGAGUCAUAGAAACAAAGAUAAAAUUAUUCUAUCCAUGGAAAUAAAGGUAAAAAACUGGAAUUAGGCACAUGAUGAGCCCCAUGUUACCCAUUCCAUGUACAGUAAAACCUGGCCCUUGGCAGCAGCUUUGCCCUUCAAUUUCUCAUUUUCAUGAUACAUUUCAGCACUGGGUUGAAUAUCCUUUCAGGAAGAGCUUUUUUUUUACU
This is a long non-coding RNA of Prinia subflava (tawny-flanked prinia), 4533 nucleotides long. RefSeq lists it as uncharacterized. The transcript has 3 exons. Lineage: Eukaryota; Metazoa; Chordata; Aves; Passeriformes; Cisticolidae. The record is from RefSeq and is a predicted model, not a curated record.